Molecule: long non-coding RNA, 412 nt
Filed under: Olea europaea subsp. europaea
Lineage: Eukaryota; Viridiplantae; Streptophyta; Magnoliopsida; Lamiales; Oleaceae
Source: RNAcentral
AAGAGCUGGUUCAGAUGACAUCUUGGUCUAGCAGUUUCUUGAGUUUAGUUCUCUGAGUUUAAUAGAGUUUUAUAGUAAUUCAGCAAGAUGAUGCACCCACUAGCGGCUUCAUGUACCAAACAUUUCUAUAUCGCUGCAUCCGAUAUUUUUUUUCCGACAGUGUGAUGGAGAAUGGAUGCGAGCAAGAGACUUUCAUUUUUUUUUUAAGGAAAAAAAUAGGAAAUUCUCUCUUUCUAAGAGAUUAAACUCAAUAGAAAAAUAUUCGAAGUAUCUUUUCUGCUUUGACCCGUGGGAAGAUAUGCUCUGAAGUUUUAUAUUUAUCUGAAAGAAAAGGAGAUAGAACAAAGAAGACACUCAAAGAAAUUUUGCUCUACCGAUCAAGAAGUGUGAUCGCUCGUUUUGAGGCUUUCAU